GUACGCUAUUCAGAGUUUGAUCCUGGCUCAGGAUGAACGCUGGCGCGUGCUUAACACAUGCAAGUCGAACGAAGCACAUUAACGGAACUCUUCGGAGGGAAGAUAAUGUGACUGAGUGGCGACGGGUGAGUAACGCGUGGGUAACCUGCCUUGCACAGGGGGAUAACAGUUAGAAAUGACUGCUAAUACCGCAUAACCCGCUAGUACCGCAUGGUACAGACGGAAAAGAUUUAUCGGUGUAAGAUGGACCCGCGUCUGAUUAGCUAGUUGGUGGGGUAAUGGCUCACCAAGGCGACGAUCAGUAGCCGGCUUGAGAGAGUGGACGGCCACAUUGGGACUGAGACACGGCCCAG
This 353-nucleotide ribosomal RNA is filed under the name uncultured bacterium. Its description in RNAcentral is "bacterial SSU rRNA". It matches the Rfam family "Bacterial small subunit ribosomal RNA", at positions 1 to 334 of the family's 1533-position model. The record is from RNAcentral.